This 444-nucleotide long non-coding RNA is filed under the name Equus caballus (horse). Its description in RNAcentral is "lncRNA (ENSECAG00000045401.1)". The record is from RNAcentral. Lineage: Eukaryota; Metazoa; Chordata; Mammalia; Perissodactyla; Equidae.
GCCUAGGUGACCAGGAGCUGCGCAGGAGGAGCAAAGAAUUUGGACCUGAGGCCGGGAUUUUCAUCAUUGGUACUGCUGCUCCUGGCCGCUUGGGGGCUGAGGGAGCCCUGCCCCCUGCAUGCGUCCUCGGUCGGACUCACCCUUCAGUCGCCGGCUGCACUCUGGCGCAGAGCUUUAGCACCUUAAGUUGCUCAAUUUGAUCUCUGCACUCAGGAACAAGGUAAUUAAGUCAGCCACGAUUUAAGAAAACGGACCUGCCUCGCCUUGUUGCCGUCUUCAGACAGCGCUCCAUCCUAAAUCAUCUGAUAAUGGAAGAGGCUCGGCGCGGCUCUCUACUUGACUGAGGGUGAGUUCAUUAGGUCACAAAUCAGUAAUUGACUCUCAGUGUGUCUCUGCUGGUUUUAUUACAGUAAUGAGGACUAUCUUUUUUUUUCAUAUCCUCUA